GGGGGUGUUCUGGAUUCGACCCUUGGUUGGAGCGCGCCGUUGCCUGUCGAGGGUGAAGGACCCUCGAUAAUCUCCCUUCACACCAAUAAACGGCAUCUACGAAGAAAUGCCCCUGGCCGCCUAAGUGCGGCCUCGUUCGCCCAGUGACACCUGCUAGCUGAAGCGAACGUCGACAGCAGGCAUAGCCCGCGCGGCUGUCUCCAACGCGCGGGUCGUACCUUCAAAUUGGGGGCUGGCCCGGAUCGAGCGCGUGCUGCGGCAUGAUGCGGGUGAGAUCAAAGCAGCGCUACACAGGUAGACGCGGUUCGUGAAGGUCAGGGGGACCGGGGUUCAAAUCCCCGCACCUCCACCA
Molecule: transfer-messenger RNA, 352 nt
Filed under: mine drainage metagenome
Description: transfer-messenger RNA, SsrA
Rfam family: transfer-messenger RNA
About the family: Bacterial tmRNA, also known as 10Sa RNA or SsrA, is named for its dual tRNA and mRNA-like properties. Its role is to liberate the mRNA from a stalled ribosome. To accomplish this part of the tmRNA is used as a reading frame that ends in a translation stop signal.
Source: RNAcentral